RNAcentral lists this ribosomal RNA (732 nucleotides) under uncultured bacterium. RNAcentral describes it as "bacterial SSU rRNA". It matches the Rfam family "Bacterial small subunit ribosomal RNA", at positions 1 to 724 of the family's 1533-position model. The record is from RNAcentral.
AAUUCGAUUAGAGUUUGAUCCUGGCUCAGAUUGAACGCUGGCGGCAUGCCUUACACAUGCAAGUCGAACGGCAGCACGGGAGCUUGCUCCUGGUGGCGAGUGGCGAACGGGUGAGUAAUACAUCGGAACGUACCCAGGAGUGGGGGAUAACGUAGCGAAAGUUACGCUAAUACCGCAUAUUCUGUGAGCAGGAAAGCGGGGGAUCGCAAGACCUCGCGCUCUUGGAGCGGCCGAUGUCGGAUUAGCUAGUUGGUGAGGUAAAAGCUCACCAAGGCGACGAUCCGUAGCAGGUCUGAGAGGAUGAUCUGCCACACUGGGACUGAGACACGGCCCAGACUCCUACGGGAGGCAGCAGUGGGGAAUUUUGGACAAUGGGGGCAACCCUGAUCCAGCCAUGCCGCGUGAGUGAAGAAGGCCUUCGGGUUGUAAAGCUCUUUCGGCGGGGAAGAAAUGGCAACGGCUAAUAUCCGUUGUUGAUAACGGUACCCGCAUAAGAAGCACCGGCUAACUACGUGCCAGCAGCCGCGGUAAUACGUAGGGUGCGAGCGUUAAUCGGAAUUACUGGGCGUAAAGCGUGCGCAGGCGGUUUCGUAAGACAGACGUGAAAUCCCCGGGCUCAACCUGGGAACUGCGUUUGUGACUGCGAGGCUAGAGUACGGCAGAGGGGGGUAGAAUUCCACGUGUAGCAGUGAAAUGCGUAGAGAUGUGGAGGAAUACCGAUGGCGAAGGCAG